CAGCCGCCGCGGGAAUACGAAGGGUGCAAGCGUUAAUCGGAAUUACUGGGCGUAAAGCGCGCGUAGGUGGUUUGGUAAGAUGGAUGUGAAAUCCCCGGGCUCAACCUGGGAACUGCAUCCAUAACUGCCUGACUAGAGUACGGUAGAGGGUGGUGGAAUUUCCUGUGUAGCGGUGAAAUGCGUAGAUAUAGGAAGGAACACCAGUGGCGAAGGCGACCACCUGGACUGAUACUGACACUUAGGUGCGAAAGCGUGGGGAGCAAACAGGAUUAGAUACCCCAGUAGUCCCUGUCUCUUAUAC
This 301-nucleotide ribosomal RNA is filed under the name uncultured bacterium. Its description in RNAcentral is "partial 16S ribosomal RNA". It matches the Rfam family "Bacterial small subunit ribosomal RNA", at positions 509 to 807 of the family's 1533-position model. The record is from RNAcentral.